Molecule: ribosomal RNA, 509 nt
Filed under: uncultured bacterium
Lineage: Bacteria
Description: bacterial SSU rRNA
Rfam family: Bacterial small subunit ribosomal RNA
Source: RNAcentral
UUGACAUGUGUAUCGCGGUUCCAGAGAUGGUUCCUUCAGUUCGGCUGGAUACAACACAGGUGCUGCAUGGCUGUCGUCAGCUCGUGUCGUGAGAUGUUCGGUUAAGUCCGGCAACGAGCGCAACCCACAUUCUUAGUUGCCAGCAUUCAGUUGGGCACUCUAGGAAAACUGCCGAUGAUAAGUCGGAGGAAGGUGUGGAUGACGUCAAGUCCUCAUGGCCCUUACGGGUUGGGCUACACACGUGCUACAAUGGUAGUGACAAUGGGUUAAUCCCAAAAAGCUAUCUCAGUUCGGAUUGGGGUCUGCAACUCGACCCCAUGAAGUCGGAAUCGCUAGUAAUCGCGUAACAGCAUGACGCGGUGAAUACGUUCCCGGGCCUUGUACACACCGCCCGUCACACCAUGGGAGUUGGGUCUACCCGAAGGCGGUGCGCCAACCAGCAAUGGAGGCAGCCGACCACGGUAGGCUCAGCGACUGGGGUGAAGUCGUAACAAGGUAAGCGUAGUGCU